This 466-nucleotide ribosomal RNA is filed under the name uncultured bacterium. Its description in RNAcentral is "partial 16S ribosomal RNA". It matches the Rfam family "Bacterial small subunit ribosomal RNA", at positions 29 to 506 of the family's 1533-position model. The record is from RNAcentral.
ACGAACGCUGGCGGCGUGCUUAACCCCUGCAAGUCGCACGGAAAGGCCCUGCUUUUGUGGGGUGCUCGAGUGGCGAACGGGUGAGUAACACGUGAGUAACCUGCCCUUGACUUUGGGAUAACUUCAGGAAACUGGGGCUAAUACCGGAUAGGAGCUCCUGCUGCAUGGUGGGGGUUGGAAAGUUUCGGCGGUUGGGGAUGGACUCGCGGCUUAUCAGCUUGUUGGUGGGGUAGUGGCUUACCAAGGCUUUGACGGGUAGCCGGCCUGAGAGGGUGACCGGCCACAUUGGGACUGAGAUACGGCCCAGACUCCUACGGGAGGCAGCAGUGGGGAAUAUUGCACAAUGGGCGGAAGCCUGAUGCAGCAACGCCGCGUGCGGGAUGACGGCCUUCGGGUUGUAAACCGCUUUCGCCUGUGACGAAGCGUGAGUGACGGUAAUGGGUAAAGAAACACCGGCUAACUACGU